UUGUGUGUACGUUUUGCCGGGUACGCGUAGUGAGGAGCUGUGCUCUGACUGUUCCCACCGCUGAUACUGGCUUUCCUGGUAAGACCAUGGUGUACGCGUACGGGAAGCAAUGCUCGGAGGCUUGGAGAGAGUGAGGCAUACCUGUUCCCCAUUUCAGACGAUUCGCUCGAUUUCACCGGCGAUUCGCGACGCCGGGAGGAGGUUCGUCAGCGCCGACUGAUUCCUCGCGGAGGGGGCUGCUUCCUCCCGCGGGCAAAGCUUCCUCGCGACGGCGAAGCAUCCUUGCGCGGGCACGCGCCGUCGAAGCUUCCUCGCGCCGGUGGCUCCUUCGCCGUGUCGACGGCCGCUUUCCAGCAUUGUACGGCUACAUGCCCACACAACCUGCUAAAUCGGCCUCGUCUUCAGUUACAUCCACUGUAAGGGUGAAGGAGAAGGUGGGAAGCUUCAUCGUUGUGCCACAUCCUCAUGGGCGGCGGCAACAUCCUCUUCGCGUGCAGCCAAAACUUUAGUGUCAUCGGUCACACUCCUACGGGGUCGGCUACAUCCCAGUGUCUCCUGAUACAUCCAACUGUAAGGCAAUCACAUUUCUAUCAUGAAGUCGCUCGAUGUAGCAGUUUGAGUAUUCUCAGUGUUCAUGCUAGUGUUCGGCUGAUCGAUGUACUUGUGUUGAUAUGUUAGUAGCAAAAAUUAGUUACAGUAGUGGAAGAGUACCAUCUAGUAAUAAAAUUGACUGGAGAUGUGUUACAUCUCUUGUCAUGAUUCCUACAUGUAACUGAUUUAUAUCCUACAAAAAAAUUGACAUUUGCUACA
Lolium rigidum is the source of this 810-nucleotide long non-coding RNA. RefSeq lists it as uncharacterized. The transcript has 2 exons. NCBI's taxonomy places the organism in Eukaryota, Viridiplantae, Streptophyta, Magnoliopsida, Poales, Poaceae. The record is from RefSeq and is a predicted model, not a curated record.